Molecule: non-coding RNA, 83 nt
Organism: Coprinopsis sp. MPI-PUGE-AT-0042
Lineage: Eukaryota; Fungi; Basidiomycota; Agaricomycetes; Agaricales; Psathyrellaceae
Source: the annotation of a GenBank genome assembly
UCCGAUAUGGUGUAACGGCUAACAUUACCGCCUUUCAUGGUGUGCGUGCGCGGUAGCUCGGGGUUCGAUUCCCCGUAUCGGAA